RNAcentral lists this ribosomal RNA (448 nucleotides) under uncultured bacterium. Its description in RNAcentral is "bacterial SSU rRNA". It matches the Rfam family "Bacterial small subunit ribosomal RNA", at positions 329 to 793 of the family's 1533-position model. The record is from RNAcentral.
UUCCAGACUCCUACGGGAGGCAGCAGUGGGGAAUAUUGCACAAUGGGGGAAACCCUGAUGCAGCAACGCCGCGUGAAGGAAGACGGUUUUCGGAUUGUAAACUUCUGUUCUUAGUGGAGAAGAAUGACGGUAGCUAAGGAGCAAGCCACGGCUAACUACGUGCCAGCAGCCGCGGUAAUACGUAGGGGGCAAGCGUUAUCCGGAUUCACUGGGUGUAAAGGGAGCGUAGACGGCGACGCGAGUCUGGAGUGAAAGCCCGGGGCCCAACCCCGGGACUGCUCUGGAAACUGCGUCGCUGGAGUACGGGAGGGGCAGGCGGAAUUCCUGGUGUAGCGGUGAAAUGCGUAGAUAUCAGGAGGAACACCGGCGGCGAAGGCGGCCUGCUGGACCGUGACUGACGUUGAGGCUCGAGAGCGUGGGGAGCAAACAGGAUUAGAUACCCGAGUAC